AUUGAACGCUGGCGGAAUGCUUUACACAUGCAAGUCGAACGGUAGAGGGGGCAACCCCUUGAGAGUGGCGAACGGGUGAGUAAUAUAUCGGAACGUGCCCAGUCGUGGGGAUAACGUAGCGAAAGUUACGCUAAUACCGCAUACGAUCUAAGGAUGAAAGCGGGGGACUCGCAAGAGCCUCGCGCGAUUGGAGCGGCCGAUAUCAGAUUAGGUAGUUGGUGGGGUAAAGGCUCACCAAGCCAACGAUCUGUAGCUGGUCUGAGAGGACGACCAGCCACACUGGAACUGAGACACGGUCCAGACUCCUACGGGAGGCAGCAGUGGGGAAUUUUUGGACAAUGGGCGCAAGCCUGAUCCAGCAAUGCCGCGUGAGUGAUGAAGGCCUCGGUCGUAAGAC
This 397-nucleotide ribosomal RNA is filed under the name uncultured bacterium. Its description in RNAcentral is "bacterial SSU rRNA". It matches the Rfam family "Bacterial small subunit ribosomal RNA", at positions 30 to 431 of the family's 1533-position model. The record is from RNAcentral.